GCGCUAGCUUCGGCAGCACAGAUACUAAAAUUGGGAUGAUACAGAGAAGAUUAGCAUGGCCCCUGCGCAAGGAUGACACAAAUUCGUGAAGGACUUGUUGGCUUCAU
Non-coding RNA from Canis lupus familiaris (dog), 107 nucleotides. The record is from Rfam. NCBI's taxonomy places the organism in Eukaryota, Metazoa, Chordata, Mammalia, Carnivora, Canidae.